GACGAACGCUGGCGGCGUGCUUAACACAUGCAAGUCGAACGGAAAGGCCCUGCUUUUGUGGGGUGCUCGAGUGGCGAACGGGUGAGUAACACGUGAGUAACCUGCCCUUGACUUUGGGAUAACUUCAGGAAACUGGGGCUAAUACCGGAUAGGAGCUCCUGCUGCAUGGUGGGGGUUGGAAAGUUUCGGCGGUUGGGGAUGGACUCGCGGCUUAUCAGCUUGUUGGUGGGGUAGUGGCUUACCAAGGCUUUGACGGGUAGCCGGCCUGAGAGGGUGACCGGCCACAUGGGGACUGAGAAACGGCCCAGACCCCAACGGGGGGAAGGAGGGGGGAAUUUGGCAAAAGGGGCGGAAGCCUGAGCCAGCAACGCCGGGGGGGGGAGGACGGCCUUCGGGUGGAAAACCGCUUUCGCCUGGGACGAAGCGGGAGUGACGGUAAUGGGUAAAGAAGCACCGGCUAACUACGG
Molecule: ribosomal RNA, 467 nt
Filed under: uncultured bacterium
Lineage: Bacteria
Description: partial 16S ribosomal RNA
Rfam family: Bacterial small subunit ribosomal RNA
Source: RNAcentral